Carcharodon carcharias (great white shark) is the source of this 96-nucleotide small nucleolar RNA. RefSeq annotates it as Z30 small nucleolar RNA. The record is from RefSeq and is a predicted model, not a curated record. The transcript has a single exon. NCBI's taxonomy places the organism in Eukaryota, Metazoa, Chordata, Chondrichthyes, Lamniformes, Lamnidae.
GGCUGUGAUGAGUUGUGAUUUUGUGACCUGGUAUUGCCAAACCCUUGUUGGGUGUCUCUGACCAGGAGAUGAAUGUUGAAUCUUCUCUCUGAGCCA